This 231-nucleotide ribosomal RNA is filed under the name Francisella tularensis subsp. holarctica. RNAcentral's name for it is "partial 16S ribosomal RNA". It matches the Rfam family "Bacterial small subunit ribosomal RNA", at positions 680 to 907 of the family's 1533-position model. Lineage: Bacteria; Pseudomonadati; Pseudomonadota; Gammaproteobacteria; Thiotrichales; Francisellaceae. The record is from RNAcentral.
GGUGAAAUGCGUAGAGAUCAGAAGGAACACCAAUGGCGAAGGCAACAUUCUGGACCGAUACAGACACUGAGGGACGAAAGCGUGGGGAUCAAACAGGAUUAGAUACCCUGGUAGUCCACGCUGUAAACGAUGAGAACUAGCUGUUGGAGUCGGUGUAAAGGCUCUAGUGGCGCAGCUAACUCGAUAAGUACUCCUCCUGGGGACUACGGCCGCAAGGCUAAAACUCAAAGG